This 1219-nucleotide long non-coding RNA is filed under the name Marmota monax (woodchuck). Lineage: Eukaryota; Metazoa; Chordata; Mammalia; Rodentia; Sciuridae. The record is from RNAcentral.
ACCACAUCUUUAUUUGUAUGUGGUGCUGAGGAUCGAACUCAGGCCGCAUGCAUGCCAGGCGAGCACGCUACUGCCCUCAAUUUCUCCCCAGCCCUCAAUUUCAGUUUUUAAAAAUGGCAUUAUUUUUGCAGUGUUAAGCUCUUUAACAUUUAUAUUUGAUUUUCUGGUUCUAAAUCUACUGCUUUGUCUGCCAGUUGGAUUUUGAACAUUGGUCCUUUUCCUUUAUGCCAUUACGUUUUCUUCAAAGGUCUGGAGAUCCUUCCUUGGUGAAGGCGUCUUCUUAGGAGUGAAGAGCUGCUGGAAUGGUGAGGAAGUUUGUGUGAGAGUCUUUGCAUGUCUCCUGUUCUAAAAGGCUUUCAUUUGCAUAGAAAGUCUGACUGGGGCUUUGCAUGGAAAGUGAAUCAGGUAGGCUAAGCUGUCCUAUAAUAGACAUCUUAGUAAGGACCAGAGAGGCAGACUGGUACCCCCCAAAUUGCCAAAGUAAGUAGGACAUUACUUGAGAAAAUGAAAUGCCUGUGUUUCAUUGCUAGGUACAGGGUUUCACCCUCUCCAUCCUGGGUGAACCUCUGUUCAACUUUUCUCUGGGUUCCAGUGUUCUUACUGGGAGCUGUCCUCAAGCUAGUGCCCUUUGUUUAGAGAGUAGAGCACAGGAUUUAGCCCAAACUCACAAAGACCUUUACUGCCAGCUACUUUUGAGGAUGGACUCAAUGGUUCUUGCUGGUUUGAUUACAGUUUUUUAAUGAGUGACCUUCAUCAUCAUGUCAUUGUACUUAUGACAUCUGUACAGCUUCUUCAGGAUAACUUGCAUUCAAAAGGAAUUGAUUCUGUAAUUACGCAUUGUAGACUUUUGACCAAGACAAUAUGAUGAAAAGUGGUAUUUUUGAUAGACAUAGCUAGUUGUGCUAUAUAGAUGGAUUAUAGGGGAUUUAGUCAGUGAGAUAAGAGGCUAUUCCAUUAAGCCAUGUAUAAGGAGAUCAGAGACUCGACUAGGAUAGGGAACAACAAAACUGCCAAGGACAGAAUACAUCUGAGGAAGAAUGGGCAGGGCUGGUAGAGGCUAUGUAUAGAAUUUAGAAAAAAGACCAAAGAUGAUUGUAAAAUUCUAAAUUUUAAUGACUAAGAAAAUUGACUGAAGUGUGAAAUUUUGGAGGAGAACAGGUUUGGACAAGAUGAAAAUGAUGGUGAAUUUGGGUUUAAAUGGUUGAAUUGAGCUGAUAGU